Molecule: long non-coding RNA, 2561 nt
Filed under: Scophthalmus maximus (turbot)
Lineage: Eukaryota; Metazoa; Chordata; Actinopteri; Pleuronectiformes; Scophthalmidae
Description: lncRNA (ENSSMAG00000026442.1)
Source: RNAcentral
UUCUUUUAUUCCCUUUUUUUCCUCCUCUCAUCCCAUCCACAUUUCCCCACAGAGGGUUGGGCUGUUUUUUUUCUUCUUCGCGUCUUUCAGCACUGAAGUUCCAGAGCCACAGACGAAGCCUUACGUUUACACUGUCUGCAGCCACACUGCUGCAACGCCACUACAGCCGGUGAAUGUUGUCGCGGCAGCAAUGCGUGUAACAAGACAAGUCGUAACUUUUCUCCCUGCCACUUACAUUGCGUCUACGUUGCUUUUACCUUCGCGAAAUUUGAGACGUACAGUUGUCUAAACACUUCACCGCGCACUGCGAUGCUGCUUCCGAUGUUGGUGCGAGGGCAGGGCACAGGAACUCUACAAGCACACGAUCCCUUACAGUUACGUUUACAUAAAUAUCAAGGUGAUAUGGAUUCGUUCCGCUGAUUUCUCCUUGUUUUGUUUUUUUUAAGCUACUGGUGGAAAGUUUUUCCCUCGAAUAUUUAGUAGUCUAUCACUGUCAGCGCUCAGAGUCUACAAAUGUCACGCUCUUACUACUGAAUAGAUUUUUUUAAGAGUGUCUGUCUGUACUGCUCAUGAGUGUGUUUCGCGCGGCGCGCGCGUGUGUGUGCAUGUGUGUACGAAUGGAAUCUAAAGAAAAACCAAAGUGUGACGUCGAGGGUGUGCAUUCAGCUGCCUGUUGUCAGAGGAUUGCGCGUGUGUGUUUGUGUGUGUGCUGUCAGCACUUUGUACGAGACGGGGCCCGAUUGUUGUUUUUAAAAAGAAAUCAUAGGUGUUUUUUAUUAAUUGGAGAGCCCAGUCUGAGAUUAUUAGACACCGGAAAACAAUCAAUGUUCUUCUUCUUGAACUGUGCACAUGAUGAGAUACUUUGCGGCGAGUAUCCAAAUACUGCAUUUUACAGCGACGUCAGUUUAGAGAUAUGCAAUCCGAGCCCCUGCUGAAAAGACCCGUCAUUUAUACUUCAGUGUAUAUGGUUAAAGUGAGGAGGGGGUUGGGGGUUGGUCACUAUCUUUCGUCCCGGACUAUGAAACACAGGCGACACACACCCGUCUUCACUCUGUGCUACUCUGUUUAUAUUCAUUACUGCCUCUUUUGUGCUGAAACUUCUGAUGAGUCUAUCCAAGAUUGGCCCACAUUGCCGUGGAUAAACAACUCGACUGAACCCAGUGAAUGUAUCCACUUACUGUGAGUCUGUUCCCCACGACUGGAGAAAACGAGUCGACUUUUCAUCCUUCAUUUCAGCAGAUCUGCGCUGAAUCACUCCACACUCUGAGAAAUGCACAUGUCUCUGAUUACUUGGGGUCCCUUUUAAAAAAAAAAGAAGAAAAAAGAAGAAAAAUGAUGACAAGUGCAAAUUCUUUUCUCUAUCACAACUGAUUUGCUGUAUUUAUUAUUACUGUUUUUUUUCUUGGGGGUUUAUAUUGAUCAAGCUUGAGCAUGAAAUAAAUCACUAAAUUUCAAAUCAAAUUGUGUGGAAAUACUUUUUCUUUCUUGUUUUUAUUGUCCUUUCACAGUGGCCAACAUGCUAGAUUACAUGCAAGUUGCAACUCCUGUUGAAGCCAACAGAGGGCGCUCCAGGACAGUGUUUGCGCUGCAAAUGCAUGGCUUGAGUCAGCUCUCCUCUUACACACAUGCUGUCAGUAUUGAAAUAAAGACUCGCUGAGUGUCAGUGCAGUAAUUGCCCUGACUGGUGGUGAGUCUAUAAACCUUGAAACCUGCAAAGACUGUAGAUGCCAGAGUUGAUUGUGCGUUUCGCUGUCCGCUCAGAUCGAGAAUGACCGGGGCUGAUGUCUGAAGACACAUGAACAAAUGAAAACACCAGUUAAGUGUAUAAGUUAAGAGGUGAUAUCUUAUGAAUCUUUGUUAGGAAGUACUCUUCUCUUGCCCACAGAAAGGUCAUAGGUCAGCGUCAGGAUUCAAAAUGUCUUGUUUGAGGACGACUGGAGUGCAGCUGACUGAUAUAUUUUUAAAAAAAUGCUCCCCAUUACUCUACCAUAAUCCAGACAUUAUCCAAUGAGUAAUCAGUAUUGGACUUCAACGGAGAUGUUAUAAGAAAGUCCAACCACUUCAAUAAUCCUGAACAGAAAAGCGUGUAAUGUCCCGAAGAUGGUUGCUUGGCACAUAGCCCCGCCCCUCCUACCGAUUGUCUGACUGUCUGAACAGGAAACGGACCAAAGCCAAUCAUUUCGCGGCACUGCGCGAGCGCACCAUCGAGGUUUGCCACAGCAUGAACUUAUGUGGUGUUUGUUAUUGUAUCCACUGCGUGAAUUAGCCUGGCUUCCGCAUGGCGGGAUUUCAUUCAGGCCAGGAGCCUGUUCCUGCAACUGCUAAGUGAAUACACAGAUGGCUGCCAAGUGAUAUAACUUGUCUACAUGGACUUUGACCACACUCAUCUUUAAACUUGUGACCUUCAGGCCCUCAGAAGUGCGCAAAAUGAUGUACUGACACAUUUUGAAAUAUUUUUAUGUUUGUUUGUAUUUGUCUAUAUAACCGAUCACAGACAACUUCACUGAUAGGUGAGUUGCAGCUCGCAAAUUGCUAAAACGAAAAUCUUUUGGUGUUUGGCA